This 598-nucleotide ribosomal RNA is filed under the name Telmatogeton japonicus. RNAcentral's name for it is "eukaryotic LSU rRNA". It matches the Rfam family "Eukaryotic large subunit ribosomal RNA", at positions 441 to 900 of the family's 3401-position model. The record is from RNAcentral. Lineage: Eukaryota; Metazoa; Arthropoda; Insecta; Diptera; Chironomidae.
UUCAAUAUUAUAUAUUUAUAUAUAAUAUGCACUUUUCUUUUAGUAAGACACUGUGAUUCAUUAGGAAAUGAUAUUAUUUAUAUAAUAUUAUUUGGCUAUCAAUAAAUCAAUAUUGAAGUUCAUGAUAAUAAAUAAUAUAAUUAUAUUAUGAUUGUAUAUAUUAUUUUGUGAGCGUAUUGUAUUAUGAUAUGUAGCUGCCUGAUGGGUUUUAAAGGCCAUAUUAUUGAUGUUACGGCAUCACCAUUAUUAUUAUGGAAAUGAAUAUGUGCUCGAUCAACAGUGGUUUAAUUUGGGAUACCUUUGGGACCCGUCUUGAAACACGGACCAAGGAGUCUAUCUAUUAUGCAAGUAAAUGGGCAUUAAUAAAACCUAUUUGCAUAAAUAACUUAACUGUAUAAAUGGGAUAACAAGUGUUUACUAUGUAUUUAGUACAUUCUUCCAUCCCGGGGUAUUUUCAUCAAACAUAUUUUUAAUCGAAUAUGGAAAAUAUACCAUGAGCAUAUUGGAUAUGACCCGAAAGAUGGUGAACUAUGCCUGAUCAGGUUGAAGUCAGGGGAAACCCUGAUGGAGGACCGAAGCAAUUCUGACGUGCAAAUCG